AGCUUUGCGCUGGGGCGAUAACGUGACCAAUGAGGCUCUGCCGAGGUGCGUUUAUUGCUGGUUGAAAACUUUUCCCAAUUGCCCGCGAUGGCCCCUGAAAUAUGGGUG
Caenorhabditis japonica is the source of this 108-nucleotide non-coding RNA. NCBI's taxonomy places the organism in Eukaryota, Metazoa, Nematoda, Chromadorea, Rhabditida, Rhabditidae. The record is from Rfam.